GAUGAACGCUGGCGGCGUGCCUAAUACAUGCAAGUCGAGCGAACGGACGAGAAGCUUGCUUCUCUGAUGUUAGCGGCGGACGGGUGAGUAACACGUGGAUAACCUACCUAUAAGACUGGGAUAACUUCGGGAAACCGGAGCUAAUACCGGAUAAUAUUUUGAACCGCAUGGUUCAAAAGUGAAAGACGGUCUUGCUGUCACUUAUAGAUGGAUCCGCGCUGCAUUAGCUAGUUGGUAAGGUAACGGCUUACCAAGGCAACGAUGCAUAGCCGACCUGAGAGGGUGAUCGGCCACACUGGAACUGAGACACGGUCCAGACUCCUACGGGAGGCAGCAGUAGGGAAUCUUCCGCAAUGGGCGAAAGCCUGACGGAGCAACGCCGCGUGAGUGAUGAAGGUCUUCGGAUCGUAAAACUCUGUUAUUAGGGAAGAACAUAUGUGUAAGUAACUGUGCACAUCUUGACGGUACCUAAUCAGAAAGCCACGGCUAACUACGUGCCAGCAGCCGCGGUAAUACGUAGGUGGCAAGCGUUAUCGGGAAUUAUUGGGCGUAAAGCGCGCGUAGGCGGUUUUUUAGUCUGAUGUGAAAGCCCACGGCUCAACCGUGGAGGGUCAUUGGAAACUGGAAAACUUGAGUGCAGAUUAGGAAAGUGGAAUUCCAUGUGUAGCGGUGAAAUGCGCAGAGAUAUGGAGGAACACCAGUGGCGAAGGCGACUUUCUGGUCUGUAACUGACGCUGAUGUGCGAAAGCGUGGGGAUCAAACAGGAUUAGAUACCCUGGUAGUCCACGCCGUAAACGAUGAGUGCUAAGUGUUAGGGGGUUUCCGCCCCUUAGUGCUGCAGCUAACGCAUUAAGCACUCCGCCUGGGGAGUACGACCGCAAGGUUGAAACUCAAAGGAAUUGACGGGGACCCGCACAAGCGGUGGAGCAUGUGGUUUAAUUCGAAGCAACGCGAAGAACCUUACCAAAUCUUGACAUCCUUUGACAACUCUAGAGAUAGAGCUUUCCCCUUCGGGGGACAAAGUGACAGGUGGUGCAUGGUUGUCGUCAGCUCGUGUCGUGAGAUGUUGGGUUAAGUCCCGCAACGAGCGCAACCCUUAAGCUUAGUUGCCAUCAUUAAGUUGGGCACUCUAAGUUGACUGCCGGUGACAAACCGGAGGAAGGUGGGGAUGACGUCAAAUCAUCAUGCCCCUUAUGAUUUGGGCUACACACGUGCUACAAUGGGCAAUACAAAGGGCAGCGAAACCGUGAGGUCAAGCAAAUCCCAUAAAGUUGUUCUCAGUUCGGAUUGUAGUCUGCAACUCGACUACAUGAAGCUGGAAUCGCUAGUAAUCGUAGAUCAGCAUGCUACGGUGAAUACGUUCCCGGGUCU
RNAcentral lists this ribosomal RNA (1371 nucleotides) under uncultured bacterium. Its description in RNAcentral is "bacterial SSU rRNA". It matches the Rfam family "Bacterial small subunit ribosomal RNA", at positions 28 to 1381 of the family's 1533-position model. The record is from RNAcentral.